CCUACGGGUGGCAGCAGUGGGGAAUAUUGCACAAUGGGGGAAACCCUGAUGCAGCGACGCCGCGUGAGUGAAGAAGGUUUUCGGAUUGUAAAGCUCUGUUAGCAGGGAAGAGGAAGGACGGUACCUGCAGAGGAAGCCACGGCUAACUACGUGCCAGCAGCCGCGGUAAUACGUAGGUGGCAAGCGUUGUUCGGAAUAACUGGGCGUAAAGGAUGCGUAGGCGGUUAAACAAGUUAGAUGUUAAAUAUAUAGGCUUAACCUGUAGAAAGCAUAUAAAACUGUUUAACUAGAGUGCAGGAGAGGUAAGUGGAAUUCCUAGUGUAGCGGUGAAAGGCGUAGAGAUUAGGAAGAACACCAGUGGCGAAGGCGACUUACUGGACUGUGACUGACAUUGAUGCUCGAAAGUGUGGGUAUCAAACAGGAUUAGAUACCCGGGUAGUC
This 441-nucleotide ribosomal RNA is filed under the name uncultured bacterium. RNAcentral's name for it is "partial 16S ribosomal RNA". It matches the Rfam family "Bacterial small subunit ribosomal RNA", at positions 338 to 795 of the family's 1533-position model. The record is from RNAcentral.